This is a long non-coding RNA of Pipistrellus kuhlii (Kuhl's pipistrelle), 156 nucleotides long. RefSeq lists it as uncharacterized. NCBI's taxonomy places the organism in Eukaryota, Metazoa, Chordata, Mammalia, Chiroptera, Vespertilionidae. The transcript has 3 exons. The record is from RefSeq and is a predicted model, not a curated record.
UACUGGUAUUUUUAUCAUCAAUUUAAGAAUUGUAAUUAUAUUGUGUUGGUGGCUUUAUUAUUAUAAAAUGAAACUUUUUUUAGAUGUAUACAAGACGAGUGUGGAUGUGAGAGUUGGAAGGAGUUGGAAGAGACCUCAGCAAAUGUUCCUCAAUCA